AUGAAUGUGUGCAAUUUACUCGAGAAGAGGAGGCGCUCGGGGUCCUGUAUGAAAAAGAAAUUUCUGUCUCAGAAGUCAGUCAGCCUUUGGCACCACUUUUCUCUCAGAGAUUGCCGAUUGGCUGAAUUUUGCACCAAUCACAUCUUUCUUGGUUUCACUGCUAACGGAAACUUUUUGGUCUCCUACACUGUGGACGCAGUACAAAAUGAAAUUGUGGACUCCUACACCUAUAAAAUCCAUUGGUGGUCAAUUUGCCGAAGUCCCAAAAGCAGACGACUAUCGCUGAAGACAAUCAAGUCCAGCCCGCUUUUCGAAGGCCGGCACCUUUCGCUGAAAGUGAUUAUUUGGAUCUAUCAUUGGCCUAAUGAUGAAUCGAAACUAAUUGUACACGGAAUUGACAAAAUGUGCAGCUUCAAUCUUCAAUUUGCCAUGACUUCUUCCUCGGGUGUAUCCGAUUUCGAAUAUCAAUCGAUGAUUAAUGUGUUCCCGAAUCCGCAAACUGCGAGUUCUAGUUACAUCAAAAAUAAUAAUCAGGAUGGCAAAGCUUGUAAUAGUCACGAUUGGUCCGUGUAUUUAGACAUUCCAACUCAAAGCUCCUUUAAGCUUCCCAACUUUUACCGAGAUUUGACGAUCAUCAACAACGCUUUAAUUUACACAAAUGGAUUUACAGUGAAGUUUGUUGAGUUCAUUUUUGAUGGCAAAUCAUCUCAAAAUAAAAAUUCCUCAGCUAAUGUCAAAAGCUCUUCAGAAAAACUGUCUCUUGAAAGCGAGAAAACAAUGAAUUUUGAUUGUGUUGAGAUUAAUUCAGCCCAGUUUCUCUCUCAAAAUGGUGUAGCGUGUAAUUGUAGUUUUGCACAAGGAGAUAAAUUGGAGAGUACACUUUUGUCGGAACAUGUGAGUUAUUCGGAUGACCGAAUUGGAAGUUGUGAGAACAAUCCGGUGGGUAGUUCUUUGAGUCUGAAGUUCCACGAGGUGGCGACAUCCAUGAAGAAAUCGAAAAAAUCCUGCUUUCUUAAAGUUACGGAAGUGUGCUUGGGAAUCGAAGAAAUGAUGGGAUCCAUUCUUGACUCAGAUUACUCCGAGGCCCUACAGAAACUGAACUUGGAUCUAAUUUUGACAGAUUACACUACAAUUGUGUUGUCAGUUUGCCCAUUGCUGUACAAUGUGCUGUUUAAAAUCCCAGCUGUGUUCGUGGACAGAUUAUCGGGAUUUUUCUUCAAGUCGUCCUUUCUGAUUAGAUGGAAUAUUACGAGUGGAGUGUUUGAAGUGAUUAAGAGAGAAGAGAUUAAGAAGACGAGUGAAAGGCAGUUGAAUGUGAAUGCUGAAGUGAAGCCGCUCUUUCAAACAAACUGGAGAGAACAUCUCAAAACUUCGCAGUUUCCUCUGGAGUCAAGUCUGGACGCUGGGAACAAUGUUCCUUUUCUAGUCGGGAAGUCCAAGAGUUCCAUGUUCAACAGACAACAGCAUCUUCUGCUCAAGCUAUGAGUUGCUCUCUUCUGCUUUAUAUUUCUGCUUCGUUUCUGUUUAUUUUGCUCGGUCGCUGAACGCUGA
Symsagittifera roscoffensis is the source of this 1551-nucleotide RNA transcript. RefSeq lists it as uncharacterized. The transcript has 5 exons. Lineage: Eukaryota; Metazoa; Xenacoelomorpha; Acoela; Convolutidae. The record is from RefSeq and is a predicted model, not a curated record.